AUAUAUCUGUUGUCUAAUCUCAAUUGAGAACGGGGGACCCAUUUUUGGGGCUAAUCUAUAUUUUAUAUAUAGAAGAAGACCUUUUACUUCUAGCCCGACAGCUAACUCCGUAGACCUAGUUAAAGGACAGA
Molecule: small RNA, 131 nt
Filed under: Halanaerobium praevalens
Lineage: Bacteria; Bacillati; Bacillota; Clostridia; Halanaerobiales; Halanaerobiaceae
Also listed under: 1 other name
Description: c-di-AMP sequence
Rfam family: c-di-AMP riboswitch aptamer (ydaO/yuaA leader)
About the family: This family represents a conserved RNA structure found upstream of the ydaO and yuaA genes in Bacillus subtilis and related genes in other bacteria. The ydaO/yuaA element is thought to act as a genetic "off" switch for the ydaO and yuaA genes in its native state. It is believed that the element may be triggered during osmotic shock leading to activation of ydaO, a predicted amino acid transporter gene, and members of the yuaA-yubG operon which code for KtrA and KtrB K+ transporters.
Source: RNAcentral